AACGCGAAGAACCUUACCAGGACUUGACAUCCCUAUGACGAGGCGAGUAGAUCGCCUUUCCUGCUUAUGGCAGGCAUAGGAGACAGGUGGUGCAUGGUUGUCGUCAGCUCGUGUCGUGAGAUGUUGGGUUAAGUCCCGCAACGAGCGCAACCCUUAUUCUUAGUAGCCAUCAGGUGAAGCUGGGCACUCUAAGGAGACUGCCGUGGAUAACACGGAGGAAGGUGGGGAUGACGUCAAAUCAUCAUGCCCCUUAUGUUUUGGGCUACACACGUGCUACAAUGGGCGAUACAAAGUGAAGCGAAGAGGCGACUCGGAGCAAAGCACAGAAAAGCGCCCUCAGUUCGGAUUGCAGUCUGCAACUCGACUGCAUGAAGAUGGAAUCGCUAGUAAUCGCGAGUCAGAAUGUCGCGGUGAAUACGUUCCCGGGUCUUGUACACACCG
RNAcentral lists this ribosomal RNA (441 nucleotides) under uncultured bacterium. RNAcentral describes it as "bacterial SSU rRNA". It matches the Rfam family "Bacterial small subunit ribosomal RNA", at positions 958 to 1392 of the family's 1533-position model. The record is from RNAcentral.